RNAcentral lists this long non-coding RNA (1296 nucleotides) under Homo sapiens (human). RNAcentral's name for it is "HSALNT0391994". Lineage: Eukaryota; Metazoa; Chordata; Mammalia; Primates; Hominidae. The record is from RNAcentral.
CAUUGCCAAGAAGAGCUGCCCGGACCACACUCGACUGUGAUAUAAACAAGAAACAAACCUUUCCGCAAACCUAUGAGAUGUGAGUGUGUUUUCUACUGCAGCAGAACCUACACUAUCCCAGUGCAGGAAGCGCUCAUUGCAAAUGGAGGUUAUCUUGUUGAUUUUUGGUUAAACUUCUCAUGUCACGUUUUCUGACAACACCUUCCAUUGUACCAUCUGUUUCUGAACAAUACCUGGGACAUUGCAAACUUGUUCUGCAAGAAUACCCUGGGUCUCAGUGUGUGUGACAAGGGAUGGAAGUAGAUACGUGGUCUUGCUAUGUUGCCCAGGCUGGUCUCAGACUCCUGGGCUCAAAGGAUCUGCCUGCCUCAGCCUCCGGAAGUGCUGGGAUUACAGGUGUGAGCCACUGUACUCCGCCACAGGAGCGUGUGGCCGGGGACUCGUGCAUGCCAGGGAAGAGCACUGGCUUCCGGAUCCUCUGACUUCACCAUGUGACUUGGCCAGCAAUGACCCUGGGUUAGAGAUAGGUGGAGCGGAGGCAGGCAGUGGUCAGAGACCCCAGACAUGGGGUCCUGGCACCACAACUGUGAUUUUCCAUCACUUUAGAGGCACCAACAGGGGUCCCUCUGGAAACGUGGAGCAGAAUCAUCCAGGAUCCCGAAGAGGACUUUGUCCUCCUGCCCAUUUCCAGUUCCUCUCCCAUCUCCUCUGGUUUCCAGAAGCAGCACAUCCCCGGCCCCACCCCUCAUCUGUAUACGGAUCCUCCUAAUGCAGACCCAGGUGAUGGAAAACCCGUCUACAACGAACCAAGGCUGUUCGUGCUUUCAAAUAUUAAAUUCUGUUCAGAAUAUUAAAUAAUUUCAUCUUCAGUGAUCCCAGUAAAUUUAAUUAGCUCUUGUUCUCCCAAUAGAGUUGUCUCUUGGUUGCUGAAAUGUUGCAUUCUCAAGGAAGGAGGCCCACAUUCCUGCAGCGCGGAGGGCUCGCUGUCUCCCUGCGCAGCCUGCCCUGCCGCAGGCACCACGGCACAUCGGCUGCCAGGAUCCCCUGUGCCCUGGCAGGAGGCGGAUGACACGGAGCUCUGCUGUCCGUGAGCUGUUCAUUCUCUGGGGGCAGGGAGAACCUUGAGGGAUCUGCUGGGUACCCUCCGUCAGGGUGCUGUGCAAGGGCAAUUAUAAACGACACUCCAGGGACCCCACAGAGCUGGCAUCCUUCUUCCAGGGGGAGCAGCCUGAGGGUGGCUGGGUCUGCCUGUGUCCUGGAGCUAGGCCCGUGAAGAUGGGUCUCCAUCAUUUCUCC